This 469-nucleotide ribosomal RNA is filed under the name uncultured bacterium. Its description in RNAcentral is "bacterial SSU rRNA". It matches the Rfam family "Bacterial small subunit ribosomal RNA", at positions 45 to 507 of the family's 1533-position model. The record is from RNAcentral.
UGCCUUACACAUGCAAGUCGAACGGCAGCACGGGAGCUUGCUCCUGGUGGCGAGUGGCGAACGGGUGAGUAAUGCAUCGGAACGUGCCAUUGAGUGGGGGAUAACGUAGCGAAAGUUACGCUAAUACCGCAUAUUCUGUGAGCAGGAAAGCAGGGGACCGCAAGGCCUUGCGCUCUUUGAGCGGCCGAUGUCAGAUUAGCUAGUUGGUGAGGUAAAGGCUUACCAAGGCGACGAUCUGUAGCGGGUCUGAGAGGAUGAUCCGCCACACUGGAACUGAGACACGGUCCAGACUCCUACGGGAGGCAGCAGUGGGGAAUUUUGGACAAUGGGCGCAAGCCUGAUCCAGCCAUGCCGCGUGAGUGAAGAAGGCCUUCGGGUUGUAAAGCUCUUUCGGCCGGGAAGAAAUCGCAUGGGUUAAUACCCUGUGUGGAUGACGGUACCGGAAUAAGAAGCACCGGCUAACUACGUG